Molecule: RNA transcript, 2752 nt
Organism: Esox lucius (northern pike)
Lineage: Eukaryota; Metazoa; Chordata; Actinopteri; Esociformes; Esocidae
Gene name: MAP7 domain-containing protein 2
Exons: 2
Source: RefSeq, a predicted model, not a curated record
CUCCCUCCCUCCAUCUCUCUCUCCCUCUGACAUCACUCCACUCUCUAACUGUUUCUGGCAUUUCUUUUUCGCUUCUGCCGCAGUCGUAGUCGAGCUGAUUUGAUUUGUAACUGCUGUUCGAGGCAGCCUGCAGGAGUCAGGAAGCAGCCAGGCUGGGACCAGGAUGACCACAGCCGCUCCAGGCAAUGUGGACAAGGUGACAGGGUCACCCCGGAUGGAGAGAGUGCAGCUGGUCAGAGGAAGGAGAGAGGAGAGAGAGAAGAGUCAGGGUAUUAGAGCAUCCAACUGGAGGGCUACGUCAUCUGUCACUGUGACACACACUCCUACACACACAAUACACACAGGGUCGUAGCUAACGUGGGGAAAGCGUGGUCCUGAUUCGCUGGGCCCGUGCCUUGGGGGCACCCAGUGAUGGUAAUAAUAUAUACAGUGGAUAUAAAAAGUCUACACACCCCUGUUAAAAUGCCAGGUUUUUGUAAAGGAAUGAGACAAAGAUAAAUCAUGUUAGAACGUUUUCCACUUUUAAUGUAGACUUUUUAUAUCCACUGUACAUUCGUCUGUAUGUGUGGGGGCAUAUCGUUUUUCUGGGGGCCCAGGAUUCCUGGCAACAGCCCUGCUUACACAUGCAUGCUGAUAGUAUUCAGUCUAAAGACUUCAAGCCUACAUAAGUCACAUGGCAAAGCAACUGGCGAGGUACUGCUCUGUGUUGGCCGUUUGUAUAAGUCCAGAUAUCUGUGUCCUGAAUGAUUGGAACUUUUAUUCUAACUUAUGGGUUGAAGAGGUUUUUUAAAUGCGUGAUUAGACCUGGAGAAGUUCCUGCGUAAUAAGGACCGGCGCUUGAGGCAGCAACUGGAGCGCAGUGCAGACGAACGAUGGAGGAGGAUGGAGGAGCAGAAAAAAAGGGAGGAGGAGAGGAGGGCAGCAGUGGAGGACAGGAGACGACAGCAGGAAGAUGAGGAGAAGGUCAGAGGUCAAAAACUACCAUCCCCUCUCUCUCUCUCUCUAUACCCUUCUAAAUGUAACCCCAUUUAAGAACGCUCACACACUCAUCUCCCUCAAUUUCUCCCUUUCUGUUUUUCGGACUUGGCGAUUCCCCAAAAGACCACUGACCGUCCUUAUAUGAGCGACUGACCUCCGGUAGGGGAUUGUACACGGGGCUGUAGCCGUCAGUAGGCAUCUCGUGCACCUGGAUCCUAGUGUUUGGGAGGGGUGGCCAUUUUGUGCCGAGUCUGAAACCCUGGUUCACCAGUUUUUACAGUGUCCCAGAUUAUCUGGGCUGGUUGAGGUGGCAACCAGCUGGUUCUCUAUUCUGGGACCGUAUACCAAUUAGGGAACGCAUGAGUUUAGGCAGUCAAAGCAUCCAUUUGGGGAGCCAGACAGACGCGUUAGGAGACACUGCAUACUGAGGCAGGGGUCUGUGGACGCGAUGGGUUUGCUGGAGGAGAGCGAGGCUGAUGGCUGAAUGUGCCUGUUACCGACUGGUGGGAAGCCUUUUGAUCAGGAUAUUGGGCUUUCAGGGGAUGUUGAGGAAAGAGAUUUGGAGUUGUUUACAUUUUUUAUUUUUUAUCCAUGUUUUCAUUUGAAUUAGUGUUAACUGAAGUGUGGAGUCUCCUAGUCAAUAAAGAUAUUUAAAGCUAAAAAAUCUCACCUACUUACUUCCAUCUCUGCUCUUUCCAUCGGUCCUGUUGUAUUUGCUCGGUUCGUUGAAAUGUUCUUUGAAAAGCAGGCUGUUGGUGAAUAUCUCAGUUUGCGAUUCGAAAUGUAACAUUGGACUCAUUGUGAGCCUGGACUGGGCUGGUGUGUGGAGGGUUAACCAUCGAACAACCGUCGGUCACCGUCUCUGGGGUCUUAACCCUAGGAACUACUCAUUCUGCUGGUUUUGUGUCUAUUGAUCUAUUGAUCGUCAGCCGACAAACCCCUCCUUUUUAUGGUAAUGAGUGAACGAUUGGGCGACCUCAGGGAGUGCAUCAUGACAUCAUCGCUGACUUAUCAGGUGUCAUUUCCUGGAAUCAGACUGUGCACAGUGUGGGUUUUAGCAUACACACACAUAUACACACACACACACACACACACACUCAUAGUAAAGUGUAGUCUGUUCCGUACAUAUUUAUAUGAAGGCCAGGGAGUUCCAAUGAGUGGUAGACUUAUCUCAUAGCGGCUCCUUGUGGUGGGCCAGGAACCUGCAAGUUGACUGAGGUUGACAGUCCAACAGGUUUUCCUCCAAAACACGGAUGUAGCAGCCCAGCUUGGUGAAUCCUGUUUUGAAGGAUGCAUAUGCCCAUCUUCUCUCCCAUGCCUGCUGGAAUGUGCUUCUUUGAGACAAGGUCACAAUAACAGAUUGGAUACCAGAACAUUGGGAGAGAACAGGAGUAUAAUUGGAUAAACAAAUUUAAAUGAACCCGCCAGAAAUUGCCUGUAGAACGGAUGUUUUUAGAUUGCUGCAGUUAACAAUUCAAGUGUAUAUAUUGAUGAGAAUACGUCUGUUUGUUGUGUAGUUGGGGUGUGAGUGUCUUCUGCUGUAGGACUCUGUGGAGGUUCUAUUUUCUUUCAGGAUCCGUUUUUUUUUGGUUGCCGUAGCGACUUUGUCCGCUAUCACCUCAAAUGGCUGUUUCACUCUCUCUGUCACUCCCUCUCUGCCUAUUUCUUUCUUUCUUUCUUGCUCUCCCUGCUGUAUGUAAAUCUCAGUCCAGACAGGAAGGAGUUAACCCACCAGUGAAAUACAAUCUCUGAGCAGAUGAAGGCAGGAGGGAGA